Cyprinus carpio (common carp) is the source of this 344-nucleotide long non-coding RNA. RefSeq lists it as uncharacterized. The transcript is spliced from 3 exons. The record is from RefSeq and is a predicted model, not a curated record. Lineage: Eukaryota; Metazoa; Chordata; Actinopteri; Cypriniformes; Cyprinidae.
ACCGAAUGUGUGUCACUGCCCGAGGCCUGCCCAUUCCGGUUUUGGUUCUUCCCAUCUCAUAAUUUUAUUUGGAUUGAAGUUUUCCGACAGACAAACGUCACCAUGGUUGGUUGGCAGUUGCCUUUCUCAUCCAACAUGCUCCGGCUGUAAUCCCGUGCCUUUUUGCUGCGUUGAUGUCCGUUCGCGUGCAUGGCCGGACUCAUGACUAUAGCAACAACAUGAAGGAACCGAGGCCUCCAGGCAGGCCGCUAGUAGGCCCUUGUGUGCGGUGGUGGGACUUUGUCACAGAGUGCAGUGUGUUCAUGCUUGAUUUUAUUGUGAGUGUGUGUGGUGUAGUGAGACCU